Molecule: long non-coding RNA, 388 nt
Organism: Perognathus longimembris pacificus (Pacific pocket mouse)
Lineage: Eukaryota; Metazoa; Chordata; Mammalia; Rodentia; Heteromyidae
Exons: 3
Source: RefSeq, a predicted model, not a curated record
CCCCCCCACCCCGGGGGCCUCUCCACCCCCUCAGGCACUGCAAGGCAAAUCCAGGCUCUUCCUGAUUCAAUGGGACAUGGGAGGGAUGAGAUUGUCCCAAGAAAGUGCUAGACCGUCACCAGUGCGGCUGUUCGCCGAGGCUAGGUGCAGGAGGAGAGGAACCGGGGAGCCGCGGAAGGAGGAUAAGCUAGUCUCUGGUCUCACUGCGAGGACUUCUCUCCGUGCCGACCUUCUCGACUUCCCUGGAAGGGCUGCAAACUGAUUCCCACGGUCUUAACAAUCAAGACUGGGGGUUCCAUCCCAUUUGAGUUUUGGAGAGUCUCAGGGAGGACCAGAACACUAAGCAAGGCAAGAUCUUGAGAAGCAUUGAUGUGAUCUCAGUAAUAAA